ACGACUCUCGGCAACGGAUAUCCCGGCUCUCGCAUCGAUGAAGAACGUAGCGAAAUGCGAUACUUGGUGUGAAUUGCAGAAUCCCGUGAACCAUCGAGUUUUUGAACGCAAGUUGCGCCCGAUGCCAUUAGGCUGAGGGCACGUCUGCCUGGGUGUCACGUAAA
Molecule: ribosomal RNA, 164 nt
Filed under: Bupleurum chinense
Lineage: Eukaryota; Viridiplantae; Streptophyta; Magnoliopsida; Apiales; Apiaceae
Description: 5.8S ribosomal RNA
Rfam family: 5.8S ribosomal RNA
About the family: 5.8S ribosomal RNA (5.8S rRNA) is a component of the large subunit of the eukaryotic ribosome. It is transcribed by RNA polymerase I as part of the 45S precursor that also contains 18S and 28S rRNA. Functionally, it is thought that 5.8S rRNA may be involved in ribosome translocation.
Source: RNAcentral